UACGUAGGUGGCUAGCGUUGUCCGGAUUUACUGGGCGUAAAGCGCGCGCAGGCGGUCGUUCAAGUCGAGUGUGAAAGCCCCCGGCUCAACUGGGGAGGGUCACUCGAUACUGAUCGACUUGAAGGCAGAAGAGGGAAGCUGAAUUCCCGGUGUAGUGGUGAAAUGCGUAGAUAUCGGGAGGAACACCAGUGGCGAAGGCGGCUUUCUGGUCUGUUCUUGACGCUGAGGCGCGAAAGCUAGGGUAGCAAACGGG
RNAcentral lists this ribosomal RNA (253 nucleotides) under uncultured bacterium. Its description in RNAcentral is "partial 16S ribosomal RNA". It matches the Rfam family "Bacterial small subunit ribosomal RNA", at positions 524 to 776 of the family's 1533-position model. The record is from RNAcentral.